CCGCCUCUUCCUGUCUCAGUCCAGCGCUACAGGUUACAGCUCUGCGGUCAUCCUGUGUCUUCAUAUGAACCCCCGAGACUCCAGAAUGGAGCCUGAAACGGUAAACCUUGCACGGUUGUAACUGCUGCACUAUUUAAGGUUGACCGGGAAAUUCAAACGACCCAGAUAGCAGCGGACUCCGUUCCGGAUCCGCUUUUCCUACGGCAGAUCCGUGUCACAGUAACCUCCGUUUAGCGUAUUCGGCCCGGCUCCAAUUCGGUUUCGGUUUCGCGAGUCGAUUCACUGUGACGUAUGCACUGAUUCACAGCCGCAUCUUGCACGGAGGAGAUGUUCCAUUUGAAAUUUGAACUUCUUCGGUUUAACGGUCGCCCACUGCUAACGGUUUUCAGUCGUCUUUGCUAUCCUUAACAUCUCCGGCAGUUCAUUUUCGAGCCUUCAAACAGCCUCAGCAACUAACCUUGCUUCAGUAUUGAUUGGGCUGUCUCUUGGCAUACUGACCUACACUGAAUCAAGCCUGGCUCAACAGUUCUGGCCCAGCACCACCCCUGAAUAUCUCUGGGAUGAGUUGGAGUGAUCCAACUAAUGCUAAUUCACUUGUGGCUGAACGCAAACAAAUCUUCACAGCAAUGUUCCGUCAUCUGUGAAGCCUUUCCCAGAAGAGUAGAGGCUGAUAUUGCAGCGAAGGCUGGAACAAGCUCCCUAUUAAUACCACUAAUUUCAAAAUAAACAUUGGACAACCAUGUGUCUACAAAUUUCUGCAUAUGUAUUUUACUUGCAUUUGUCACUGCGAACACAAAAAUGGAGCAUCAUGGCAAACGCCCUUUGGAACUGCAAACUACUCUGAGGUGAAACUUAAAAUAGUCGUGUAAAAAUUAUAUUACUCUCACCUUAACAAUGACGUGGUUACCAAUAACCUCACUGUGAUGCAGUUUUAUGACCAGAUUACCUGUUGUUAAGAAAAUAAAGCACACAGGACAAAUUAUUAAUUUUGGACACUCCAUAUGAUGGUCCUGAUGAUGAAAUGGCAAUAAAUAGUUUACACAAGAGGUUGUUCCCCACACCCAGUGAAGUGAAGUUUUAUCCUGUUUCACAUUUGAUAUCCUGUUUCACAGUAGCAUGCAGUUGAUGUAGUUGAUGCAGUCAGUCUUUGUCAUAGUAUCUGAUAGUCACUAAGUCAUUUUGUAUAACCCAUCAACCCAAAUCUAAAUAAACCAUAUGCAAAGGACUAAUUCUGAACUACAACAAUUUUAGUGUACAAGACGUAAGAUGUAAACACAGAAUGUGUGCAGUCCCAGGGACCCUCUUCUCUGCACAGUAUUAUACUUGCCCUGUUCUAACACAUACACUGAUCAGGCAUAACAUUAUGACCAUCUCCAUGUUUCUACGCUCAUUGUCCAUUUUAUCAGCUCCACUUACUA
Colossoma macropomum (tambaqui) is the source of this 1418-nucleotide RNA transcript. It is a transcript of the gene named CREB-binding protein-like, with no coding region annotated. NCBI's taxonomy places the organism in Eukaryota, Metazoa, Chordata, Actinopteri, Characiformes, Serrasalmidae. The transcript is spliced from 4 exons. The record is from RefSeq and is a predicted model, not a curated record.